Molecule: RNA transcript, 1172 nt
Organism: Brassica oleracea var. oleracea
Lineage: Eukaryota; Viridiplantae; Streptophyta; Magnoliopsida; Brassicales; Brassicaceae
Exons: 3
Source: RefSeq, a predicted model, not a curated record
AAAAGAAAAUCAGGUCAAAAUUUAUCGCUGAGGAAAAUAUGGCGACGGCUUUGUUCAACACGACCAGAAGCUCUAACCUCUACCACCACCACUCAGUUCUCCCUCCGUUCUCCCAACGGUUUCACAUCCGCCGUCAAAAUAUCUUCUCUCUAGUGACUCCUCGCCGCUUACGCCGUCUCGCCGUCGUUGGUGGUCCUCCAUCUUCUCCGAGUCCUGAUCCGCCUCCGCCUGAGAACACCACUCAGCUCGAAGGUGUUGUGGGAGCUGUGACAAGGAUUGAAGACCGCGUAAAGAUCUUCCUGGCAGUACUGAUUUGGAUGUCUCUCUUCUUCUGGGUUACAGUGGUCGAUGGGAUGGGUAAAGGCAAAGGGAAGAAGGGUUCUCGUUUCAAGUAAUUUCCCAAACUCUGGUGUGAUUGCUCAUCAUCAUCAUCAUUAUAUUCCACAAACUGUAUAUUUAUGGUCUCGAGAGAUCAAAAUCACCUGUAGAAAUUCUCCCCAAGUAAAGCAUAUUUCUUGUAGAUCAGUCAUUCAGAUGCAGGGGCGUACCUGUAAUACGUGAGACCAUAGGCAAGAAAAAAAUGGGGGCCUACGCAUUAUUGUAGAACAUAAAAAACGCAUAGGAGAAUUUUUUUUUUUUCAAAAAAAAAGGUUAAGAGUAAUGGGAAAAGAGGAAGAGAGCCAGAGAUAAAGAGUAAAUGAAAAAAGUUAAAAGAAUAAAUUUUAUUUUUAAUAUUAAUUGUAGGUCCCAUUUUAAUUUUGUGUUGUAGUUAUCUUUUUCUGUUUUUCAUUUGCACAUUCCCUUGUAUGUAACUGUAAAUUGUGAUAAAAAAACACUAACUGCAUAAUUUUUUUUUUCAAAUGGGGGCCUUUGAAAAAUGGGGCCAAAGCCUAGGUUUUAUUGUGCUCUGUUCAAGAACGCCCCUGUUCAGAUGAUAGGAUUCAACAAUAUACAUUAUAAUAUGAUGGUUUUGCAUCAAUUCAAGUGAUGGUGUGGUCUUUGAGAGUUAACUGAAAUGUCCUUGUUUAUUUCUGUAUUUAGUUUUAUAUGAACAAACCACCAGUGUUUGUUUAUUGGCUAUAGACUCUACCAAAACUGCUGUAUAGCCUGUAUUGAACUAUAUAGAACGGUUAAGCAUGAGUAAAAUAGACAUGGGCCAUCAAGAUGGGUAU